GUCGUCCCACCAUUGCCAGGGUGGCUGCUCUUUAACUAACAGGUGGUGUGUGUGUGUUUCCUUUUCUUUUCUUUUUCUUUACUGCUCCUACUACUAGGAGCACGAGAGAGAUGGGAGAGAGACGCGGAUGGAGCACGGGGGGAUUCCGUCCGGGGAAGGGGAGGGAUGGCUGCCACCUGCCUGCAUGUGCAUCAGUUUUAGUUUUUAUUACAGCUCCACCUGGCCACGCCACCGGGCAGGCAGUUGGCCUAAAAGCGCACUACCCUACACUGCUCUGCUCUCUGG
Molecule: long non-coding RNA, 285 nt
Filed under: Sorghum bicolor (sorghum)
Lineage: Eukaryota; Viridiplantae; Streptophyta; Magnoliopsida; Poales; Poaceae
Description: long non-coding RNA (SBIC_LNC001336)
Source: RNAcentral